Molecule: ribosomal RNA, 402 nt
Filed under: uncultured Sphingomonas sp.
Lineage: Bacteria; Pseudomonadati; Pseudomonadota; Alphaproteobacteria; Sphingomonadales; Sphingomonadaceae
Description: bacterial SSU rRNA
Rfam family: Bacterial small subunit ribosomal RNA
Source: RNAcentral
UGGGGAAUAUUGGACAAUGGGCGAAAGCCUGAUCCAGCAAUGCCGCGUGAGUGAUGAAGGCCUUAGGGUUGUAAAGCUCUUUUACCCGGGAAGAUAAUGACUGUACCGGGAGAAUAAGCCCCGGCUAACUCCGUGCCAGCAGCCGCGGUAAUACGGAGGGGGCUAGCGUUGUUCGGAAUUACUGGGCGUAAAGCGCACGUAGGCGGCUUUGUAAGUUAGAGGUGAAAGCCCGGGGCUCAACCCCGGAAUUGCCUUUAAGACUGCAUCGCUUGAACGUCGGAGAGGUGAGUGGAAUUCCGAGUGUAGAGGUGAAAUUCGUAGAUAUUCGGAAGAACACCAGUGGCGAAGGCGGCUCACUGGACGACUGUUGACGCUGAGGUGCGAAAGCGUGGGGAGCAAACA